UCAUCUGGACUCAGAACCCAGAGCAGGAUCAGGUUUUAGAGGAGGACCUGCUCUGGGUUCUGAGUCCUGAUGG
Non-coding RNA from Xyrichtys novacula (pearly razorfish), 73 nucleotides. NCBI's taxonomy places the organism in Eukaryota, Metazoa, Chordata, Actinopteri, Labriformes, Labridae. The record is from the annotation of a GenBank genome assembly.